CCACAAGCAAGAUUAUUUUAACCCAGCAAAGCUAUCAUUUAGAAUCAAAAGACAUAAAAAGAGCUUCCCAGAUGAGAAAAAGCUAAAGAAAUUUAUCCUAACCAAAACAGUGUUACAUGAAAUGUCAAGGGUUCAAGUCUUCUUUAAGAAGAAGGAA
This is a long non-coding RNA of Phyllostomus discolor (pale spear-nosed bat), 157 nucleotides long. RefSeq lists it as uncharacterized. Lineage: Eukaryota; Metazoa; Chordata; Mammalia; Chiroptera; Phyllostomidae. The transcript has 4 exons. The record is from RefSeq and is a predicted model, not a curated record.